RNAcentral lists this ribosomal RNA (466 nucleotides) under uncultured bacterium. RNAcentral's name for it is "partial 16S ribosomal RNA". It matches the Rfam family "Bacterial small subunit ribosomal RNA", at positions 29 to 507 of the family's 1533-position model. The record is from RNAcentral.
ACGAACGCUGGCGGCGUGCUUAACACAUGCAAGUCGAACGGAAAGGCCUCUUUCGGGGGGUACUCGAGUGGCGAACGGGUGAGUAACACGUGAGUAACCUGCCCUUGACUUUGGGAUAACUUCAGGAAACUGGGGCUAAUACCGGAUAGGAGCUCCUGCUGCAUGGUGGGGGUUGGAAAGUUUCGGCGGUUGGGGAUGGACUCGCGGCUUAUCAGCUUGUUGGUGGGGUAGUGGCUUACCAAGGCUUUGACGGGCAGCCGGCCUGAGAGGGUGACCGGCCACAUUGGGACUGAGAUACGGCCCAGACUCCUACGGGAGGCAGCAGUGGGGAAUAUUGCACAAUGGGUGGAAGCCUGAUGCAGCAACGCCGUGUGCGGGAUGACGGCCCUCGGGUUGUAAACCGCUUUCGCUCAUGACGAAGCUUUGUGUGACGGUAGUGGGUAAAGAAGCACCGGCUAACUACGUG